Molecule: long non-coding RNA, 560 nt
Organism: Vombatus ursinus (common wombat)
Lineage: Eukaryota; Metazoa; Chordata; Mammalia; Diprotodontia; Vombatidae
Source: Ensembl
AGAACCCGGGGCGGAGCUCCCCAGCCCUCACUGCGGUCUUUCUUUCCAGUGGCCUCGGACGGUUAGGUCAUGUCUUUUCGAGCUCCUCUACACGUGGGGGGUGAUCAAGCCAGCUGGUGGCCCCCAUAGGUAUGAAACCAUUCACGACAAGGGAUUUCAGCUUACAAAGAGGUCAGAAGUACAAAAGGCCUUGGCCCCAGUGAAGGAACAGUGAUGAAAAGCCCAGAAACCUGUCCCCCAUGAAACUCCUGGCAGGGCAGAAGGAUUCAAUAAGGUGGCGCUACCAGCACAGGGAGGAACUGAUUCCUGGUUGAAGAAGAAUAAUUAUUAAUUCAUGUUGGGUUCCCUGUGCCAGUACACAUUCCCUAAGAGAUUUGGGUGGCUUAAUCAUGCAAAUUAAAAUAAUCUAAUAGGAUUUGCUACUUGAUAAGUGAAAGUAAUUACUCAUCUUCUCCCUGUUGACUUGAUUAUUGUUAUUUUAAACAUAAUUCUCCUUCUGGUAUAAUGAGUGGCUGAAAUGACAUGGAAAUGUUAAAUAAAACCUUAUAUAUAAAACUCCU